AAAAAAAGUCGAUGGCUUUCGAGGUAGGAGGCCGCUCUCAUCAGAUAUGGAGCUAGGUGCGGAUGCAAUGUGGCUCUCGAUAGCACCUUAUGGAUAGUUGUGUCCCAAAGGAAGGAUGAGAAUAGCUGCUGAAGUCCUAAAGAGCAAGCCUAACUCAAGCUGUUGGCACACAGGCAUUACACAGAAAGCUGGAAGUUGAAAUGGUGGAGUCCAACUUGCCUGGACCAGCUUUAUGGGUUCUGCUGGUAAUGUUUUUAUCCAUGGAUGGCUUGCUUGGGUAUGGAGAGUCGCUUGAAC
Sapajus apella (tufted capuchin) is the source of this 297-nucleotide long non-coding RNA. RefSeq lists it as uncharacterized. The transcript is spliced from 3 exons. The record is from RefSeq and is a predicted model, not a curated record. NCBI's taxonomy places the organism in Eukaryota, Metazoa, Chordata, Mammalia, Primates, Cebidae.